GGGAGAGCAGGUAAUAAAGAGGUCCUUACAAAAUUGGCAAUCACAGUUAUAUAUCAUCUAUUUAUUUUUUCCUUCUAAAUUCUAGUACAAGUAACUGAAUUAUAGACUAAUUGACUUUGAUAACAUAUUCCCAAUUUUUCUGCCCUCCAACCCUCAUUGAUCUUCUCAAUAAAAUCUUCAAUUCUUUUCCUUAAUUCAUCCUCUUCUUUCUCAUCACUUUUCUCAAAAUUGCUGUCAUUUGUCUCUUUUCUUGUUUUUGCUAAAUACAUUUUUGUGUCAAUUGUAAUAU
Molecule: long non-coding RNA, 289 nt
Filed under: Solanum tuberosum (potato)
Lineage: Eukaryota; Viridiplantae; Streptophyta; Magnoliopsida; Solanales; Solanaceae
Description: long non-coding RNA (STUB_LNC001250)
Source: RNAcentral